GAUGAGAUCCAAGAUGAGCAGCCCCCGCCGUCGCCCCCUCUCGCCGGCGCCGCUGGACGACGACGACCUCCUCUCCGAGAUCCUCCUCCGCCUCCCCCCGCUGCCCUCCUCCUUCCCCCGCGCCUCCGCCGUCUGCAGGCGCUGGCGCCGCCUCGCCUCCGACCCCCGCUUCUGCCGCCGCUUCCGCGGCACCACCGCCGCCGCAACCCUCCCCUCCUCGGCUGCUUCGUCGAAGAUAUUGACUCCACCCACUUCCAACCUAUCCUGGAGGCCCCCAACCGCGUCCCGCAGGCCCGCUUCGCCUUCCCGAUCCGCGCCGGGGACCCCCCCGGAUGCCGCCAUGGCCUCGUGCUCUUCCUCCGUAGUAAGUACCAGCUUCUUGUGUGGGACCCCAUCACCGGCGACCAGCACCGCCUUGACGUCCCCCAAGGUUUGACGAGGACGACUCGGUCGGCGGGGCGGUGCUUCGUGCUGCUGCCGGCCACUUCCAGGUUGUCUUUUCGUAGGUAACAGCGAGGUAGAGCCUACACGAGCGGUUGCCUCCGUUUACUCGUCGGCGACCGGCGAAUGGGGUGACCUCGUCUCCACACCGCUUCCGCCCAAUGCUCCUAUGAGCUAUCGUUCCACCUCCAUUUGUAUGAACUAUCCUUGUGUGCUCAUCGAGGGUUCCUGUUACUGGUCGCUCGCUCAUGGUCCUGCCAUCCUUGCGUUUGAUCUGGAUAGCCAGAGCCUGAAUGUGAUACAUCUUCCAUUAGACGUCCGUGACCUGGCCCAUUACGACUUCUCGGUUGUGCGGAUGGAGGGUGGUCGGCUUGGUUUCUUCGUUGUGCCAGGCUUUAGCGCCCAAUUGUGGAAGUGGAACAGCGAUUGCGAUGGUGCGGCUUCAUGGGUGCUGGAAAGAAGUAUUGAAUUGGACAAGCUGCUUUCCCUGAAUCCAGACGACGAGAGAGAGCGCCCAAUUGUCGCAGGGUUCGCUGAGGACAAUAAUGUGGUGUUACUGUGGGCAUUCGUUGGUGUCCUCACGCUCCAGCUCAAAUCAUUGCACUCCAAGAAACUUUUUAGAGUUAAAUGCUGGUUUUGCUGUCUUCCAUUUGAAGGGGUCUAUACUGCAGAUGCGGAUAUUGGUGCUGGGCGCGAUGGAGCCAAACUUUUGCACAAUACAUAAUAUGAGUUGCCCAGUACUAUCAUAAUGAGUUGAUUGGGCAGGUAUCGGAGGGUCAGGUUUACGUUGGCUGCGAUGCAGAUGUGGAUUAAUUGCUGUAGGUUCUCCUUCCAUUCUGUAUGCUGUGCAUGGGGCUUAUGAUGCGCUUCACAGGGGAAUUAACAUGUCCUGGUCAACCAUAACUUGAAACAAUUAGUCUUGUAAGCUGUGAGCUGCCGCCUGAUUUCCGCAGGCAAUAUCCGAACUGCCGCGAAGGGAAGUUAACUUUGCUUUGGUUAGCGCAUCAGCUAGAACCGGCCCUGUCCGCUGAAUUUUCUGCGCAUACUAUUUUCUGUGUUGUGCAUUUUCCCCCAGCAUGGUUUGCCAGUGUCCUAUGACGUUUUGUUCUCUUAUGUGUUAUCGAAUUUGUAUUCCAAAGAGAUGGCAUUGCUCCCAGGAUGCUUCUAUGGGUUGAAUUAAUUUGCUUAUUCAUUAACAAUGCUGCUACUGGGACAGGCAGUUUUUCUUC
Long non-coding RNA from Aegilops tauschii subsp. strangulata, 1670 nucleotides. RefSeq lists it as uncharacterized. The record is from RefSeq and is a predicted model, not a curated record. NCBI's taxonomy places the organism in Eukaryota, Viridiplantae, Streptophyta, Magnoliopsida, Poales, Poaceae.